AACGGCCGCGGUAUUUUGACCGUGCAAAGGUAGCAUAAUCAUUAGUCUUUUAAUAGGAGGCUGGUAUGAAUGGCUCGACGAAAUAUCAUCUGUCUCAUUAUAAUAGAUUAUAAUUUAUUUUUUAAGUUAAAAAACUUAGGUUUAAUUGGAAGACGAGAAGACCCUAUAGAGCUUUAUUUUUAUUUUAUAAUAUUAUUCUUGUUUAUUAUUUUAUACUUAUUAAUUAAGAAUUUUGUUGGGGUGAUGAGAAAUAUUUACUUAACUUUUUUAUUUAUUAAACAUUUAUGUAUGAUAAUUAGAUCCAUUAUUAUUGAUUGUUAGACUAAGUUACCUUAGGGAUAACAGCGUAAUCUUCUUUGGGAGUUCGAAUCUACAAGGAGGCUUGCGACCUCGAUGUUGGAUUAAGAUAAUGAUUAGGUGCAGUAACUUAAUUAAUAGGUCUGUUCGAC
This 449-nucleotide ribosomal RNA is filed under the name Heteragrion sp. SMB-2007. Its description in RNAcentral is "partial 16S ribosomal RNA". It matches the Rfam family "Bacterial large subunit ribosomal RNA", at positions 1926 to 2585 of the family's 2925-position model. The record is from RNAcentral. Lineage: Eukaryota; Metazoa; Arthropoda; Insecta; Odonata; Megapodagrionidae.